Molecule: ribosomal RNA, 1016 nt
Filed under: uncultured bacterium
Lineage: Bacteria
Description: bacterial SSU rRNA
Rfam family: Bacterial small subunit ribosomal RNA
Source: RNAcentral
AGGAAUAUUGGUCAAUGGACGAGAGUCUGAACCAGCCAAGUAGCGUGAAGGAUGACUGCCCUAUGGGUUGUAAACUUCUUUUAUACGGGAAUAAAGUUAGCCACGUGUGGCUUUUUGUAUGUACCGUAUGAAUAAGGAUCGGCUAACUCCGUGCCAGCAGCCGCGGUAAUACGGAGGAUCCGAGCGUUAUCCGGAUUUAUUGGGUUUAAAGGGAGCGUAGGCGGGUUGUUAAGUCAGUUGUGAAAGUUUGCGGCUCAACCGUAAAAUUGCAGUUGAUACUGGCGACCUUGAGUGCAACAGAGGUAGGCGGAAUUCGUGGUGUAGCGGUGAAAUGCUUAGAUAUCACGAAGAACUCCGAUUGCGAAGGCAGCUUACUGGAUUGUAACUGACGCUGAUGCUCGAAAGUGUGGGUAUCAAACAGGAUUAGAUACCCUGGUAGUCCACACAGUAAACGAUGAAUACUCGCUGUUGGCGAUAUACGGUCAGCGGCCAAGCGAAAGCAUUAAGUAUUCCACCUGGGGAGUACGCCGGCAACGGUGAAACUCAAAGGAAUUGACGGGGGCCCGCACAAGCGGAGGAACAUGUGGUUUAAUUCGAUGAUACGCGAGGAACCUUACCCGGGCUUAAAUUGCAACUGACUGAACCGGAAACGGUUCUUUCUUCGGACAGUUGUGAAGGUGCUGCAUGGUUGUCGUCAGCUCGUGCCGUGAGGUGUCGGCUUAAGUGCCAUAACGAGCGCAACCCUUAUCGAUAGUUACUAGCAGGUCAUGCUGAGGACUCUAUUGAGACUGCCGUCGUAAGAUGUGAGGAAGGUGGGGAUGACGUCAAAUCAGCACGGCCCUUACGUCCGGGGCUACACACGUGUUACAAUGGGGGGUACAGAAGGCAGCUACACGGCGACGUGGUGCUAAUCCCGAAAGCCUCUCUCAGUUCGGAUUGGAGUCUGCAACCCGACUCCAUGAAGCUGGAUUCGCUAGUAAUCGCGCAUCAGCCACGGCGCGGUGAAUACGUUCCCG